Molecule: ribosomal RNA, 845 nt
Filed under: uncultured bacterium
Lineage: Bacteria
Description: bacterial SSU rRNA
Rfam family: Bacterial small subunit ribosomal RNA
Source: RNAcentral
AGAGUUUGAUCCUGGCUCAGGAUGAACGCCGGCGGUGUGCCUAAUACAUGCAAGUCGUACGCACUGGCCCAACUGAUUGAUGGUGCUUGCACCUGAUUGACGUUGGAUCACCAGUGAGUGGCGGACGGGUGAGUAACACGUAGGUAACCUGCCCCGGAGCGGGGGAUAACAUUUGGAAACAGAUGCUAAUACCGCAUAACAACAAAAGCCACACGGCUUUUGUUUGAAAGAUGGCUUUGGCUAUCACUCUGGGAUGGACCUGCGGUGCAUUAGCUAGUUGGUAAGGUAACGGCUUACCAAGGCGAUGAUGCAUAGCCGAGUUGAGAGACUGAUCGGCCACAAUGGAACUGAGACACGGUCCAUACUCCUACGGGAGGCAGCAGUAGGGAAUCUUCCACAAUGGGCGCAAGCCUGAUGGAGCAACACCGCGUGAGUGAAGAAGGGUUUCGGCUCGUAAAGCUCUGUUGUUGGAGAAGAACGUGCGUGAGAGUAACUGUUCACGCAGUGACGGUAUCCAACCAGAAAGUCACGGCUAACUACGUGCCAGCAGCCGCGGUAAUACGUAGGUGGCAAGCGUUAUCCGGAUUUAUUGGGCGUAAAGCGAGCGCAGGCGGUUGCUUAGGUCUGAUGUGAAAGCCUUCGGCUUAACCGAAGAAGUGCAUCGGAAACCGGGCGACUUGAGUGCAGAAGAGGACAGUGGAACUCCAUGUGUAGCGGUGGAAUGCGUAGAUAUAUGGAAGAACACCAGUGGCGAAGGCGGCUGUCUGGUCUGCAACUGACGCUGAGGCUCGAAAGCAUGGGUAGCGAACAAAAUUAGAUACCCUGGUAGUCCAUGCCGUAAACGA